This 307-nucleotide long non-coding RNA is filed under the name Brassica napus (rape). RNAcentral's name for it is "long non-coding RNA (BNAP_LNC016194)". The record is from RNAcentral. Lineage: Eukaryota; Viridiplantae; Streptophyta; Magnoliopsida; Brassicales; Brassicaceae.
UCUUCUCCACAACAUCACAUGGAAGAUGGUUCAUUGCAAACUUUUUAAUAAUGUUAGUUUUUUUUUAUUUUAGUUAACUUUCAUUUGUUUUAAUUCUUAUAUAUUUUGUGACUUUUAAAAGGUUUUUGUUUCAAUUUUAUAUUGAAUUUAGUUCACAUAGUUUAUGUUUACAUAAUUUAUAUUUAAAAAAAUAAUUUCUCUUAAAAAAUUAAACUAAGAACAACCUAACUAAGAAAAACCUAAUUAAACUGAUAAAAAAAAAACCCAACCGAACCGAAUACAAACCAAACCGAAUAUAAACCGAACC